Molecule: ribosomal RNA, 433 nt
Filed under: uncultured bacterium
Lineage: Bacteria
Description: partial 16S ribosomal RNA
Rfam family: Bacterial small subunit ribosomal RNA
Source: RNAcentral
AACGAACGCUGGCGGCAUGCCUAACACAUGCAAGUCGAACGAGACCUUCGUGUCUAGUUGCGCACGGGUGCGUAACGCGUGGGAACCUGCCUUUAUGUUCGGAAUACCUCAGUGAAAUUUGAGCUAAUACCGGAUGAUUUCUUCUGACCACAGAUUUAUCGCCUUUGGAUGGGCCCGCGUUGUUUUAGCUUGUUGGUGUGGUAAGGGCCUACCACGGCAUCGAUACAUAGCUGGUAUGAGAGGAUGAGCAGCCACACUGGGGGUAGGAACCGGCCGAGAAUACUACGGGAGGGAGGAGAGGGGAAUAUAGGAAAAUGGGAGAAGGGCUGAUCGAGCAAUGCCGGGUGAGUGAUGAAGGCCUGAGGGAAGUAAAGCAGUUUUACCCGAGAUGAUAAUGACAGUACCGGGAGAAUAAGCACCGGCUAACUCCGUG